CUUUCCCUCCCUUAGAUGAUGUUUCUAAAUAAAGGAGUAGAAGGCUACCGAAACCUAAGUAGCAACCCUCCUAAUAAGAAAUAAAAUAUUAUUUCUCAUAUGAUGAACCAAAAAUUUUGGAAUUUGUCAGAUUCCCUCCAACAACUUUAGACUAAAUUGAUGAGAGAAUAAACCUUACAGACAGAUGAAAAAACAAAACUAAAAAAUGAACAGAAAUUCAUGAACUCACCUUUUCUAGUUCACUUUUCUUAGAAGAUCACCCUCUUCGAUCCUUUUUAAUCCUCAGAAGAUCAGUUGCUUUCCAUCC
Molecule: long non-coding RNA, 307 nt
Filed under: Elaeis guineensis (African oil palm)
Lineage: Eukaryota; Viridiplantae; Streptophyta; Magnoliopsida; Arecales; Arecaceae
Description: long non-coding RNA (EGUI_LNC017833)
Source: RNAcentral